GUCCUUACUCGGUAACCGUAGGAACCUUGUGCAGAAUUGCUUUAAGACAGCAAGCAAGGGUACCGUCGCAUAAGUCCUCAUAUCAAGUCUGGUAGCGAUAGCUUCUAGAAAGGGUUUCCUUAAAUCGAGAGAGGCAAGGGUACUGGUGCUAAAAACACCAGUAGAGGUGAACGGUACAUGGACAGUUCCUAGGAUAAUGCACAUCACUCGUUUAGCGUAUAAUAGACACCUCUGUGAGGGAUAAGCCUUAACGGCGUUAGUGGGAGCUAACGUAGCGGAGGGUAACCCAACCAAGCGCUUUGCUGAGAAGGACACUAACCCUGUCUGAGAUAACGUGGUGAUGGUACAAGUAGCCCAAUUCAGCGCCUUAAAAAGCAAUCCGAUAUAAUAGGACAAUACUCUGAACGUCCGGGUGAAAGUUACUACUCAUUGAGGUAGGUUACGCAUGUAAUAGCAAAGGGAAGUAGGGGAGUAGCUCUUCCAUACUCAGACCCUUUGAGCGUAUAGCAUAAUGUCUGUAAGAAUUGAAAGUAGGGUUAAAACACCCUACGGUUACUGAGUAAG
This 564-nucleotide small RNA is filed under the name Brochothrix phage A9. RNAcentral describes it as "ROOL RNA". It matches the Rfam family "ROOL RNA". From Rfam's summary of the family: Firmicutes, Fusobacteria (1 example), Tenericutes (1 example). The record is from Rfam by way of RNAcentral. Lineage: Duplodnaviria; Heunggongvirae; Uroviricota; Caudoviricetes; Herelleviridae.